GAUAUUGUAAGGUUUCAGCCAAACAGAGGGCCUACUAAUUACCCACUGCCCAGGGGGAACACUGGACAGUGACCUAGUAGCCGCGCCAAACAAGAUAGUACUUGUCGACGGAGCUACUAGGUUUUGAGAAAAACAAAUAUUAAUAAAAGAGAAAGGCCAUGUAUAAUAUAACAACAUUUUUUUUAAUUAUUUAAUUAAAAAAUUUAUAAUUACUAUUAAAGAUAUAAAUAUAUUCAUAUAAAAGAAGAAAGAAAAAAGAAAAGGAGGUGCUUGAUACACAAAUUAAAAAGGGGGUAAAAGGGGGUUUUAUUGAUGU
This is a long non-coding RNA of Daktulosphaira vitifoliae (grape phylloxera), 316 nucleotides long. RefSeq lists it as uncharacterized. The record is from RefSeq and is a predicted model, not a curated record. NCBI's taxonomy places the organism in Eukaryota, Metazoa, Arthropoda, Insecta, Hemiptera, Phylloxeridae. The transcript has 2 exons.